UCUUAUCGAGAGAAGCAGAGGGACUGGCCCGAUGAAGCUUCAGCAACCAACAAACAUGUCAGGUGCUAAAUCCAGCAGGUGUAUGCCGACAGAUGAGA
This 98-nucleotide non-coding RNA is filed under the name uncultured Metasolibacillus sp. RNAcentral's name for it is "SAM riboswitch (S box leader)". It matches the Rfam family "SAM riboswitch aptamer (S box leader)". From Rfam's summary of the family: The SAM riboswitch is found upstream of a number of genes which code for proteins involved in methionine or cysteine biosynthesis in Gram-positive bacteria. The SAM riboswitch acts at the level of transcription termination control. Lineage: Bacteria; Bacillati; Bacillota; Bacilli; Caryophanales; Caryophanaceae. The record is from RNAcentral.